GCAAACACAACCAUUUGAAGGUACCAACUAUAUCUAUGAAGACCUUUUUCACAGCUGCUAGCACGUCUUUAUUUGUUUUUGCUACUAACUAUAUUGUUCUUUUUACAGAGGUUCUUCACUGAUUUUGGAGAUUCUUUAAAUGAAUAAUUGGCUUUGGCUUCUUGACGGGUUAUGGAGGUGAAUCAUAACGGUUCAGAUCCAAUUUUGAUGGCAGGUAACAAAGAAAGAAACUAAAGGGGAAAAAAGAAAAGAAAAAAGGAUCGAACUAAAUUAUUCUUCUUACAUCAUUACUUCCUUAAGGUUCAGGAGGUUUCUGUUUGCUGUUUUUCCUACUAACUAUAUAUUGUUCUUUCAGGUUAUUUAGAUGAAUGAUUGGCUUUGGCUUCGACACGGGUGCAAAAAGUGAAUCACAUCAGUUCCACUUCAAUUUGCAUUACUACUCAAUUACAUAAGGAGGGACACUUAUCUGCACACAGAAGCAAACGCCAACGACUCAUGGACCAAAUGGAGCGUGUGCAUGCUCGGCACCGACAAUGGCGAGAGUCAAUGAGUUCUUCACAACGUCAAGCAUACUUGGCACGACGACGCGCAAUAGCUCAAGAAAAGCGACCCGUGGUGGAAACUAGCCCAAGUAACAGAGCUGAACAAGCUCCAGGCACAAGUUCAAGAAUUUCUUCAAAUUCCAACAACCCCGAACAAGACUACUCAAGGGUUCGCUUAACUCGCAUAAGACAAAUGGCACGUUCGAAUAGAUCAGAAACAAGCGAUGGAGUUGACGAAUUUCUACUCGCUAUGGUGAGCUUAAUAUAUUAAACUUAUUGAUAGCGAAUCAUGUGUAUGUAUUGUUGUAAACAACUUUUGAUAAGGAUCAAUAUUUUUACUUAUAUCCAGAGUUACCUAAUGCUACCAUGAAUAAUCAUGAGGAGCAUAACAACAACAAUGUGGCCAUGAAUAAUGAUGAGGAACAUACCAACAACAUUGAGGAAGACAAUGAAAGUGAGCCCAUGAAUAAUCAUGAGGAGCGUCGUAACAACAUUCAUCAAGUACGGCGUAUGAGGAGGGCAAGAAUAAAUAAUAAUUUUGCUAGAGAUUUUCAUGAGGAAAUGGGUGUCCAUGAUUGUCAAUUGCCCCCACUAAAAACAUGCCCAUAUUGCAAUGCAUUGUUGUUUAAUCGAGAGACCUUUAGUUUGUGUUGCUUGAAGGGGAAUAUUGUUCUACCACUAAUACAGUCUCCCCCAGAAAUGGUUCACCUCUUUUCUGAUCAAACGGAUGAGGGCAGAAAAUUCAGACAAAAUAUUAGGGCCUACAACAAUGUGUUUGCAUUCACUUCAAUGGGCGUACAUG
Molecule: long non-coding RNA, 1344 nt
Organism: Rosa rugosa (rugosa rose)
Lineage: Eukaryota; Viridiplantae; Streptophyta; Magnoliopsida; Rosales; Rosaceae
Exons: 4
Source: RefSeq, a predicted model, not a curated record